Molecule: unclassified non-coding RNA, 379 nt
Filed under: fungal sp.
Lineage: Eukaryota; Fungi
Description: partial internal transcribed spacer region
Rfam family: Eukaryotic small subunit ribosomal RNA (bases 1-46)
Source: RNAcentral
AAGUCGUAACAAGGUUUCCGUAGGUGAACCUGCGGAAGGAUCAUUAACACGUAUCCAACGUUAAAACCCCCCCCGUGAACUUUCAAUCCUGCUCUUGUAACCCGCGUAGUUCGCAAUCUCUGGUAAAUCAUAGCCCGGAAAGUUGUUUUGAUUCAGAGACCUCUGGCUACGUGAGAACAUUGGAACAGUUACAAUCGAGAAAGUGUCACUGAUUGUGCAAGGAUAGCGCUUCACGAUUCCUGUAGACCGUACACUCGGGCAGGAGCUAUGCCAAAGGGUCCCCAUGCCCCCUUAUAACCCCACAGUUUAAUGUAAAGCUCAAUGUAAUACAUUGGGUAAAAAAACCGAACAACUGUUAACAAUGGAUAUCUUGGUUCUC